GGAAUAUAAGAAACCGUCUCCUAACUUUUAACUAAAAAGAUAAGAAAAUGUUCUUAAAUAAGAUAUUUAAGAACCAGUUCUUAGCUUUUUUAGUUAAAAGUUAAGAAACAGUUUCUUAUAUUCC
Molecule: non-coding RNA, 124 nt
Organism: Brassica napus (rape)
Lineage: Eukaryota; Viridiplantae; Streptophyta; Magnoliopsida; Brassicales; Brassicaceae
Source: Rfam